AGGUGGAACAGCUGGUGGAGAGGGCAGGCAAAGCCUGGUGACAAAAGAAGAUCUACUUCCUAGGAGCAAUUCCAGAGGAAAUAAACAUCAGAGUGAAUGACUUACAAGCCUUUUUUCUACCUGAAGGCAGACGUGAAGAAACUUAGGUUUGGUCUGUAUAGGUAUCACAAAUCCCGCUCCAACCUGACCUGAACUGCAACAAAGAAAUGUUUGUGUCACUAUGACAUUUGCAUGAAGCCACAGUGAAUAUUAUAGACCUACUCCAAAUCUUAUGGACGUCUGUGGAAGUUGGAUCAGGCCUUAUAUGAAGAAGAGACUUUUAUACAAGACCAUAGAGAUGCCCUGUACACUGAAAAUAGAAAUGUCAAAUGCCAUGGCCCUGAGUUUUCAGAAGAAUACCAAGGGAGUCAUUGUGCCAUGGAUUGCUGCAAUCUUUAGACACAUGUUGUAAAUAAUUAAUUAAUUAAUCAUAGUAAAGUGCUUUUAAAGA
This is a long non-coding RNA of Dermochelys coriacea (leatherback sea turtle), 490 nucleotides long. RefSeq lists it as uncharacterized. NCBI's taxonomy places the organism in Eukaryota, Metazoa, Chordata, Testudines, Dermochelyidae. The record is from RefSeq and is a predicted model, not a curated record. The transcript has 3 exons.